Molecule: transfer RNA, 97 nt
Filed under: Gemmatimonadaceae bacterium
Lineage: Bacteria; Pseudomonadati; Gemmatimonadota; Gemmatimonadia; Gemmatimonadales; Gemmatimonadaceae
Also listed under: 2 other names
Description: tRNA-Sec
Rfam family: Selenocysteine transfer RNA
Source: RNAcentral
GGGGGUGGAUGGAGUCUGGUGGCUUCCCUGGUCUUCAAAACCAGUGUGACCUGACUGCGUCGGGUCGGGUGGGUUCGAUUCCCAUACACUCCCGCCA